RNAcentral lists this ribosomal RNA (407 nucleotides) under Parhippolyte antiguensis. RNAcentral describes it as "Janicea antiguensis partial 16S ribosomal RNA". It matches the Rfam family "Bacterial large subunit ribosomal RNA", at positions 1847 to 2501 of the family's 2925-position model. Lineage: Eukaryota; Metazoa; Arthropoda; Malacostraca; Decapoda; Barbouriidae. The record is from RNAcentral.
ACUCAGUCUGGCCUGCCCGCUGACAAUACGUUGUUGAAGAGCCGCGGUAUCUGUAACCGUGCGAAGGUAGCAUAAUCAGUUGUCUUUUAAUUGAAGGCUGGUAUGAACGGUCGAACGAGAAGCUAGCUGUCUCUCUAGUGAAAGUUGAAGUUUACCUUUAAGUGAAAAGGCUUAAAUAUUACGAGGGGACGAUAAGACCCUAUAAAGCUUCACGAUUACUCUAGUUGUCCCCGAACUGUGGUAUAAGGGGGGCAGGGAAUGGGUGUCGUUGCGUUGGGGCGGCGAGAAUAUAAUGUAGUAACUGUUCUUGGAAUAAAACGGCUAGUGGCCGGGCGAGAUGACCCUUUAUUAAGGAUCAUAGGAUUAAGUUACUUUAGGGAUAACAGCGUUAUUUCCUUUGAGAGUUC